Non-coding RNA from Coffea arabica (coffee), 1138 nucleotides. Lineage: Eukaryota; Viridiplantae; Streptophyta; Magnoliopsida; Gentianales; Rubiaceae. The record is from RefSeq and is a predicted model, not a curated record.
UACCGUCGUCUCUGUCCGCGCCAAGCCCAAAAAAAAACUCAUCCUCAGCAACCUUUCUGUUCUCGGUGAAAAGGGCAAGAACAGCUACGACGUCGAGACUCUCAUCAAAUUCUUCUCCACCUGCUCCUCUUCCGUGGAUAGCUUGAGCAGCAACAGCAGCGGAGAUUUCCAACUCACCGAGCCGUCACCACCCAUCGGAUAUCCAUUGCCGCCUGCGAAUUUCACCAAGAAAGCCUUGCUUCUCAAGAGCUUAGCUUUUUUGCAGCUGGCAAUGAUUUUAGGCACUGGAGAAAGAAAAUAGUGAAGAUGGAAAUAAUUCUGAUUCUAGCAGUUAUUCUAAUGAUAAUGAGGACGAAAGGCCGGAGAGCAAAUCUAUCACCACCUCUUGGCCUCAAAGUUACAGGCAGUCCAUCGAUUUAUACAGUAGUGUACCAUCUCCAAGUCUUAACUUCCUGGGGACGCCUACGUUAUCAUGUUUAGGCAGCUCAUGUAUCUCUUAUUCAUUAACAAGAAGAUACACUCCUGAAGUACUCCCUUCUUCGCAAAACCUCUAUUACCACCAGUAGCAGAUGCACGUCGGCCACCAGAAAGGCGUAGUUCACAUUCUCUGCUGCCCUCCAUUCAAGGGAGGCCUUCCUUAAGAAAAGCAACUGCUGACAAGAAAUCAUCCAAGGUCUCACAUGAGGUUUCUCUUCCUAGCCAGAGUUCAUAUGGACAAGCUGUGGUGAAUGGCAUAAAUGUUCUUUGUGGUGUUGGAAUUCUUUCAACUACUUGUGCUGUCAAAGAAGGUGGAUGGGUUGGGCUCUCAAUUCUGUUUAUCUUUGCUGUUGUUUCUUACUACACUGGGAUUCUCCUGCAUUCCUGUUUGGACAGUCAACCUGGGCUCAAGACUUACCCGGAUAUUGGCCAUGCUGCCUUUGGUAAUGUGGGACGUAUUGCUACAUCUGUUUCACUCAUGCCAGAUCCAAAAGCUAGAUCAUAUUUAUGCAGCCUCUUUGUCACUGCUGCUUUGAUUUGUUGCGUAUACUUCAUCGGAACUGCAUUCCUUGCGAAGGAUGACAUGAUAAAUGCUAUUCAUACUAGCUUUUGGAAGAUAUCUAUGGUUAUGGUUGAAGAAUGUUGAAGACAAAAUUGCCUU